RNAcentral lists this ribosomal RNA (380 nucleotides) under uncultured bacterium. RNAcentral's name for it is "bacterial SSU rRNA". It matches the Rfam family "Bacterial small subunit ribosomal RNA", at positions 29 to 410 of the family's 1533-position model. The record is from RNAcentral.
AUUGAACGCUGGCGGAAUGCUUUACACAUGCAAGUCGAGCGGCAGCGCGGGGGCAACCCUGGCGGCGAGCGGCGAACGGGUGAGUAAUAUAUCGGAACGUACCCCGUCGUGGGGGAUAACACAGCGAAAGCUGUGCUAAUACCGCAUACGACCUGAGGGUGAAAGCGGGGGAUCGCAAGACCUCGCGCGAUGGGAGCGGCCGAUAUCGGAUUAGGCUUGUUGGUGAGGUAAAGGCUCACCAAGGCGACGAUCCGUAGCUGGUCUGAGAGGACGACCAGCCACACUGGAACUGAGACACGGUCCAGACUCCUACGGAGGCAGCAGUGGGGAAUUUUGGACAAUGGGGGCAACCCUGAUCCAGCCAUUCCGCGUGAGUGAAG